GUCAAAGAGUACAUUACUUACUGAGCUGUCUAGCUUAUCAUUCUAUAUUUUACUAUUUUUACUGAUUCAGAGAACUAACUUGACUCGAAGUUAUAAUAUGGGAGAGCAAAUUAGAGACAAAAUUUGAUAUCUUUAUUUAGAUUAGGAUUUAUUGAAAGUUGAAGAAAAACUAUGAAAUUUUAUUUAGUAAGAUAUUUGAUUUGCUUAUUUAAAAUUAAGUUAAAUAUUAAUUAUUUAAAUUUUAUUUCACUAUUACUUUAUGAUAUCAUGAUGAGAUACCU
This 281-nucleotide long non-coding RNA is filed under the name Elaeis guineensis (African oil palm). RNAcentral's name for it is "long non-coding RNA (EGUI_LNC008482)". The record is from RNAcentral. Lineage: Eukaryota; Viridiplantae; Streptophyta; Magnoliopsida; Arecales; Arecaceae.